RNAcentral lists this ribosomal RNA (254 nucleotides) under uncultured bacterium. RNAcentral describes it as "partial 16S ribosomal RNA". It matches the Rfam family "Bacterial small subunit ribosomal RNA", at positions 524 to 776 of the family's 1533-position model. The record is from RNAcentral.
CACGUAGGGGGCGAGCGUUGUCCGGAUUUAUUGGGCGUAAAGAGCUCGUAGGCGGCUCAGUAAGUCAGGUGUGAAAACUCCAGGCUCAACCUGGAGACGCCACUUGAUACUGCUGUGGCUAGAGUCCGGUAGGGGAGCAUGGAAUUCCUGGUGUAGCGGUGAAAUGCGCAGAUAUCAGGAGGAACACCGGUGGCGAAGGCGGGUCUCUGGGCCGUAACUGACGCUGAGGCACGAAAGCUAGGGUAGCGAACGGG